CAUCCAUCCAUCCAUCCAUCCAUCCAUCCAUCCAUCCAUUUGUUCCGGAGUCAUGUUGUGGGAGCAGCAGCUUGAGCAGGUUCUCGUUAGGCGCAGCCAGCUUAACCUACUGUGCAGACCUGCAGAGCUGACACCCUGCAGCCCCAGGGGUUGACAAAUGGAGGAAAAAAGGGCCUAAAGAUGGAUGAAGCACAAUUUCCCGAGGUGAUGCCAGGGGCCCCUUUUGCUCAUCUCUCCUACAGGCCCACCUAUUGGUGCCCCAGGGCAAAGGAGUCGGAGGCAGAAGGUGAGAGGAAGAUGGAGAGGGGACGAGGUCAGACUGAGAGCUUCGGGCGUUUUGAAGAAACACACACUUCUGUGUUUUCACUUGUCCAUCUGAAGAAUCACACUCACUACAUGUCUGAAGAAAUAAAAAGGAUU
Molecule: long non-coding RNA, 420 nt
Organism: Austrofundulus limnaeus
Lineage: Eukaryota; Metazoa; Chordata; Actinopteri; Cyprinodontiformes; Rivulidae
Exons: 3
Source: RefSeq, a predicted model, not a curated record